CCACAGGGUAGAACCUCGGU
This 20-nucleotide microRNA is filed under the name Gallus gallus (chicken). Its description in RNAcentral is "microRNA Ros-gga". The record is from RNAcentral. Lineage: Eukaryota; Metazoa; Chordata; Aves; Galliformes; Phasianidae.